UCCCCCAGCGCUGUUUAAUCAUUUACUGUCCUUUCUUUUCUUCAGGUGCCAGAGUUUGCAGCCUGUUGGGGAAAACCAACAUCAAGGACCAGUGCUUUGAAUGGACUACAGCCCAAUGGGUCUGUCCCAGUGCUGCUCCUUUACUGAGACAGCACUGCGGAGUGCCACCCUGCUUGCUAUGCACAGCUGCUCUGUGGAUUGAAGAUGAAGAUUCGGUGGAGUGAAGGACUGGAGGACUCCUGUGACAUUUUACUGCAGGCAGGGAAGGUGAGUAGUGUGGGAAAAAGGAAUGGCAGAAACCACGGCCAAGAUCUGUCUGGACUUCAGGGGACUCGUGCACAUGAGCUUGGCAUUCUCUCAGGGUAUAGAUCUUGUUUUAUUUUUCCUCAUUUCCCAGAUCUGAUGCAGGCUUUGCCUGACAGUUAACAAACGGUGUCAAGUGGGUGUGCAGUGUGUGCUGUAGGAAAUAAGGGCUCACUAGGACCCUGCUGGACAGGCCGCCCACCGGCUCCCACUUCUCUGGAGGGCCUAGCAGACAGCCACCAGCAGGAGCAGCCUCUCAGGACGCCCAGAGCUGCUGCCUGCCAGCCCUUCGCACACGAGCCCUGCUGACAGGGCUCAGACAGGGUUCCUUUCUCCUCUCCAAGCUGAACGUGGCCAGUCCACAGUUCCUUAACAUACUGACUGUCCCUCCAGUCUGGAGAGGCACAGAAGGAUCCAGGUGUCGUCUGGACAGGCAGAGCAUGGAUGAGGAUUGAAGAUUUAGGUCUGCAUGCUUCCUUCGGCCGUCAGUGUGGCUUCCAGUGCUGCAGGAAGGCUCAGGGUUGCUGCCCGUUGUCUUUCUUGCUUUGGUGUUCUCGUGGCCUUUAUGUAGGUAUAUUGUGCUAUAAAACCUCAUGUUGUAGGGCUGGGGACUUAGCUCAGUGGUUCUGCCUCUUACCUUGUAAGUGCAAGGUCCUGAGUUCAAUCCCCAAUACCAAAACACCCCCCAAAAACCAAACCUCAUGUUGUAGUUCUUGUGAGCAGAGUAGUUUUCCCUCCACAAUCCUGGAAACUCCCCGAAGGCAGCUGGCUGGUGGUGGGCACUCCAUUAAAUGUUAGCUAGUACUAUUUGCUUUGUUAUUUUCUCAUUGCAAUGGACGACGUUCAUAUCAUUUAAUGAGCAUGUGCUGUGUGCCAAAAACUGCUCGAUGCUGGAAUGCAGCCCUACCUGCGGAGCUCCCAGGCACUUGGGAAGACUGGUUGAUUGGAUGAUGAAUCCUGGUUGUAGUCCCUGUGAUGAACACCUCUGCUGUCAGACAUCACUGGCUGCCUUCUGUGUGCUCAACUUAGAACGCAUCCUUCCUGUCCUGGAAUAUAAGUGGCUGAAGAAGACACCCCUAUGGGAGAAAAUUCCCUGGACUUUUUAGUGAACUGGCUAGGAGUCGAGUCCUAGCUCUGCUGCAAACCCACUUUGUGCCCAUGGCGAGCCCAUUCUUCAGCGGCCGGAGGAUAUCCUGUGGAGCAGUGCAGCGCCCGGCCUCCCAUCCUGUGUGAACUGCAAGGCAGCGGCUGUGGCCCUGAGGCCCUCUUCUCUCCCAGGCCAGGCUGCGCCUCCUGCUCACAGUUCUACUUUUCCUAAGCCAAACUGGAGGCCAGGGCACCGAGAACGUCGAGAUGGCAUAUUUCCAGAGUGUGGAGGAGACAGACUGUACCGCAGGAGCCUGGAGCCAGGCCCCAAAGGUUCUGCUGGCUGUCCCAGGGGCCUGCCCUUACGACAGCCCACCCGGGACAUCUCGGAGCUUGUAUCUCUGCUCAUCAGAAGUUGGAGGAGUGGGUUCGAGGGGGCAGCUGUUUCCUAUAAAAAUGUCCAGUAGAGGUAAUGUCCUUGGGACAAACUCUUUUUUUUUCUAUACUGGGGAUGGAACAUACAGCCUUCACUCUGAACUGUAUCCUCAGCUCCCUUUAAAAAAAAAAAUUAUUUUGAGAAAGGGUUUUGAUAAGUGCUAAAUUGCCCAGGGUGGGCUCCAACUUGCAGUGCUGGCCUCCCAAAGUACAGGGAUUACUGCUGGACACGAUGCCCGGUUGGUCAUCCUUUUUUUUGGGGGGGAGGGUACCGGGGAUUGUACUCCAGACCUUGUGCUUUCGAGGCAGGCGCCGGAACCACUGAGCUAAAUCCCCGGCCCUGGUUGGUCAUCCUUUUUGACACCCAAGCUAAGGAGGCUCAUUCUGUGCCUGAGGCUCCAGUGUCUCGCAUUCUGCCCGCUGGAAUACGGUCUCUCAGAGGGGCUGUGGAGCCUCGUGUGGUCGACUCCAACCAAGGUGCAGGCAUUUGGGGAGCGUCGUCCCCAGGUAAUUCCUGUGUGUCCAUUUCCUGUUACUGAGACAAAUUACUAUAAACUUGGUGUCUUAGAAAAACACACAUCUAUUUUCUUAAAGUUCUGAGGGCCAGAAAUCCAAAAUAAGUCUCAGUGGGCUAAACUCAAGGUGUCAGCGGGAAUGUGUUAAUCUCCACCGAGGCUCUGUGCCUGUCCCAGGGUCAAGAGGCUCCACGCGUUCUGCCCUGUGGCUCCUUCCUCUGACUUCAAGUCCAGCAGUGGCUGGUCAGGACUUCCACAUAAUGCCAUCUCUCAGAUUCUACCUCUCCUGCCUCCCUCUUCCCUGUUUAAGGAGCCCAGUGAUUACAUUGGGCCCCCCAGACAAUUUCUCUGUUUCCCACUUCCAGCAACCUUAAUUCUCCAUUGCCACGUAUCAUGGCGCAUCCACAGGUCCCACCCACUUGGACGUGGACAUCUUUAUUCCACCAUGGACCGUUAUUUUGCACACCCAGCCAACCUCUCCUGUGGCUUUUCCAAGGGUCUCAUCCUCAGGCAUAGACAGUGGGCUGGGCCAGACCAGUCAGGAUGUGCCCACCACUGGCAGAGAGGUCCUUUCUGCCCAGACACCCUCCCUGCUUUAGCUCACCUCCUCUUCUCUCAUCCUCUGCUCCCCCUCUGGCGUAGAGGGAAGCUGGUGAGGCUAGAUGCGCCGCGGGAGCCCAGGGAGCUGAGCCCUCCCCGGCCAGACAGCCUGUCUUCCAGGGGCUGGAGCCAGAGCCCAGCCUUUGCGGUCGCGGACUCACAGUCUGAGGGCAGUUGCAGGGUCGGAGGGGCAGGCAGGCACAUAUCGGAGACACACGUAUCCCCUGUGCCUCUCGGCCUCCCUUCCUCAGGUGACAACAGCCUGUCUACCCUCCGGCACUCGGUGGUCCUUUUUGGGGCUGGGACCUUGAGAGGCUCCCAAGGAGGGGAGGCCCCCAUCAAAUCUGUCCCUGGGUACUGGUGAGGACCUGGGGGAUCCAGGACCCCAGCAAGAGGUCUCAUCAGCACAGCAGAGCAAAGCAGGAGGAGCUGGACAGGGCCUUCGGUCUUCAAGUAUGGUGACCAGUUGGGCUUGGUUUGCCUAAGACUUUCCCACUUUGAGCAGUGGGGGUCCAAGCCCUGGAACUCGGUCAGAGCAAACCGAGACAGCUGGUCACCCUGUCUCCAGGGCCUUUAUCACAUUGUCUUCCGCUCUGGGUCAUCUCCGCUGCUACACAGCCAGCUCUUUGGACUCCUGGAUACUAGAAAGACCUGGGGGCUGAGGAAGGACCCCAGGCUCACGCCAGAAAGGAGCAGGCUCUUGCCCCAGCAAGCCCGGCAGAGGAGCCAUCAACAGUGAAGACCAAGCUGGUGUCUGCGGGGCACAGAGCUCCCAGGAGCAGUGUGCGUAAGACGGUGAAAAGGAAACCUCUAAACACUUAGCAGCCUGGUCACUUCUGAGUGGUGGAUUGCAGGUGGCUUUCAUAAAUACUUUGAGUUCCCCCUCUGUAUUUCUUCCUCUCUGUACAAGUAAGCCAUGUUCUUUCUGUAUGUUUUUAAUAAAAGAAAGCCAGUGGUGACUCAGCCAUCCAUCUCCAGUCCUGCUGAGGGACACGAGCAGUUGUGCUGGCACCUGUGACCUUGGCUGUGGGCUGGUCAUGGCCCCAUUCUGCCCGAAGCUCUACUGCAAGGGCAGGGAAGCUACUCCUCCGUGUCCUUCGGCCCCACAGUGCACCCAGGGUCCAGCCUGGCUUGUUCCCUGAGUGAAGACUCAAAAGCCUGAUGUGCUCUCUCUUGGCAGAGCAGGGGUGCAGGUGCUGAGGACACACAGGAUGUGGCUGGCCAUUGGGAGAUGCUCUUGAGCACCACUCUGGACUGAGAAUGAUGGGGAGAGGAGCUCUUGCCUCCAGGCAGCUGGCACCUGGUUGGAGAGCUCGGGUUACCCCACAGACCAUGUGGCGCAUGGUGGACUGGAUGAGGCCUUGCCUGUGAGGAUUGUCCGAGGUCGCAUAGGGGAGACCCAGGAGCCUCACUGCACUUGUCUUAGAAUGGCCAGAGGCCAAAACAGGUUUUCUUGAGUGACCUGAGGCAGCCCCCCAAGCUCGGGGUAAAUGGUCUCCCCGUCCCAGAACUCGCUGCUGGACACUUUGUGACAGAAGAGUGGCAAGAACAGUCAGCAAGAUGUUCCACUCUUAGACAGCUGGGCACCCUUGGGCCCUCCUCCUUGCCCUCUCCCCUCGUAUUCUUUGGGAGUGCCAGGCUCUAGACUUCCUCUGGCUGCCUCCGUCUGGUCUCCUGAUACCAAGCAGUUCUCUCCACCCCAAGCCCAGCAAGAGCACUUGGAAGGGAGCCCUGGGUCUCCAGUAGAGGCAGCCACCCCUCCACCUCCUACAUACAGGGCCAGCAUUCCCCACCCUAGUCCACCCUAGUCCACCAUUGUCCUGGUGAGGCCAACAUGUGACCUUGUUCAUUGUUUUGGAAAAGUAGUAAGUGUUCUGGCCUAAUGAUCCCUCCCUAUUGAACCCAGAACCCAAGCACAACUCCAUGUUCACACAACUCCCUUGACCCAGGAAGUCAGCUUUCUCAGAGAAGCCUGGCAUGUGCUUCCCCCUCCUUGCCACACCCUCGCCCCUAAGCCAAGAUCCUGCUCUAUCCCUUCUCCCUAAGCAAAGCUGCAGCUGAGUGUUUUUACUACUUUCUUUUUUUUUUUUGGUGCUGGGGAUCGAACUUGGGUCCUUGCGCUUGCACAGCAAGUGGCAAAACCACUGAGUUAAAUCCCCAGCCCCUAAACUGAGUGUUUUUAAGUGCUAGGGAAGACCUUGCUAGUCCUGCCUCAAUUCUGGGCAGAUUUGGGAAUCUGAACGUGUGAGGGAAAAGUGAUAGCAGAAUUGGACACUCCCCACAUCCAUGUGGUUUUUAAGGGAAAGAGGACAGUAGGAACGGAGACAGGGAUUCAGGCCAGUUCAGGAUUCGGCCACACAAAGUAGUGAGGGCCCCAACCUGGCGACCUCUUGGCUGGCUAUGGAGGCUGGGCAGGCCUCCCCUGAAGGGAAGGUAGUAGUGAGCUCUGGUGUCUACCUGGUGUGGCAACUAGCAUCUGCCUUGGGUGCUGCAGUUUCUCAGGAAUUAGACCCACUAGAGGCACAGGGCCUGAGCCCGGCCCAAGGCUAGGAGUUAGGAUGCACCUCUGAGUGGUCCAGACCUCUGAGGGACCCCAGAGGCCAAAACCGUCUGGCCUAGGGCAGAAGAGCUGGCUUCGCAGACAGAAUUGUGUCUAAAAAGUCCCCUUUGACCCCUAGAGCUGAGACCUACCAGGCCAGAGUCCCCUAGAGAAAACGGACUGUGUAGCUAAGCUGCUCCCUGCUCUGAGGCCAAGUAUCAAGCCUGUCAGGUCACAGCCCUGGCCUUGGCCUUCAGAACUGCAUGCAGGUGGCCUCCCGGGUAGAGGUGGGGAAUCACUUCUCUUGGGGCCCAAGCCAAACUCCACCACACUGGGGCCCUGGGGCCUGUGGCGGCAGAGCCAUAUUGUCUGAAGUACCAGGAGGGGCCAGGGGCGCUGAUGCCAAGGCGACACAGCAGCUGAACCUUUGCUGUCUUCCGUCAAGGUCUCCAGAUGCCUUCUUGUCAUAGGUUCCUAGUGCCCUGUCCCUUGCCGGCACUCCCCAAAUUCCCCCCCAGGCUUCAGUUUCUUCCUUUGUAGGCAGCCUGAUCUUGUAGAACCCACCUGUGUUCUGGGCAUGGACAGGUGUGGGUUGGAAUCCAGCUGAGUCACCCGUCGUGGGCAAGCCCCUUGUGCGUGCUGAGCAUGGUUUCCUGGUCUGUGAAUGAGGCUGGGGGUGGGGAGCUGUGCCUGAGUGACAGUGCAAAGGGGAGCUUGGCACAGUCCCUGGUCCCAAGGGAACACUCGGGUCUGUUUCAUUAUCCAAGCAGAUCUGAGGUCUGCUCUAGUUCUGCUCCUUUCCAAGCUGCAGACUGCACUGAGCCCGCAGAAGUGGGGGCUUCUUCUGCAACUGCCCCCCCACCACCAGAAAAGCAGCAGAAAUGGACCUUUGGGAGCCGCCUGGAGCCAGGAAAACCACAGCCAGCCAGCUAGGUCUUCCUCAGACUCGACCCCACAAGGGAGCUCUGGCCGGCGAAGCCGCCUUCCACCCUGCCACGUACCUUCACCUCUGGAAAAGGAGCACACCAGCGCCCCAGGCUCUGGUUUCUGUAAGAGCUGGUGAAAGUGGGGAGAGACCAGUGCUGAGUUCAGAUGGAUUUUACACAUCUUCCGUGUGGAGAGUGAGUGGUUGCCUCAGUUAAGACACAGCAUCACGUAGGUCAGACGAAAGUUCCUUGUUGGAUGCUUCAACCGGGCUGUGUGGAGGAAACUCCGACCCCAUGCAAGAGUGGAGUUUUGGGUCUGGGCCAACAGUGAGAAAGACGGCCCACUGGUCGCAGAGAAUGACAACUUGAGCAUGACCCAGCUCCAUGGACUAGGUGGCAUCACUCCCAGAGAAAAGGGCUCCACCUGCAACCAAGCUCAAGGCUUUUCCCAGGAUUUCAGCUGGGCCCUGGGCAGACCCCACUGGAGGCUUCCAGAGACCGGGAGCAAGCUCUUAUGUGUGGAGGCAGGGUGACCACAACACCCUAUACACGUGCAUGGAGAGAUGCUGAAAGCUGAUACUCUAAGAAGGGAUGAUUUUCACAUUAGCCUUCAGCUUUCAUCCUACUGCAAGUAGCUGAAUAAAUAAACCAACCCGAUUAAAGUAACACCUUUGGAAUAAAACAAGGAAACUCCUCUGGCUGAUGAGAAAUGCCCUCCAGUGUCUGUAAACUUGGUUCAUCAUGGGUGUGCCUGAGACUAGCUGGUGUACCUGAAAUCCCCCUUUGAUACUUUACCCCAUUGCAAAGUGGCCCUCAAUGACCAUAAUGUCACAGUAAUCCCAACAAAGCUCAUCUUUCAAUGACCUCCUAGCUCCUUCAACCAAGAACUUCCAUUCUGAGUGCUUAGAUUGAAAAUCUUGGGAAUUACCUACCCUUAGGAAGCACUGACAAGUCCUGAAUGAUCUUAAACUUUUAGGCCCAAAUUUGGUUCAGAUUAUACUGAGGCUGAUCCUUUCCAGACUCUGUUUGCUAAUGAGAUAGUCCCAGCUGCCAUCACCUUUAGGUCUGACUUCUAGGCCUGGGCCGAGGUUCACAGUGAGAUGUGAUGCGACAGCUCCCUAUCCUGUUAGGUCGGUCCCUAUCACACAUGCUCUUCCCUGGAGCCCAGCUGCCUUGCAAUUUUGGGUGCAGAGUUUUAGGUUCCUUCUCUGGACAUUCCAAUGGGUUGGAACCAAGAAUUAGUGAUCAGAUCUAUCUUGGUUCUGGAGGUUGGAAGCCAAUGGACAUAAUUCCUUUCAUGUUCUGGUAAUAUACAUGUGGUAAAUUUUGCUUAUUAGAACUUGGAAGAUUUCUACAGAUGCCUGGGACUUCAUCAGACCCAUGCCUACUCUCCAUCAGGGAUCAGGUUGAAGGAUAAGAACAGUCAGAAGCAGACCCUACUGUUUGUUAUGGGUUGCCUCACUUCCUCACCAUUACCCUGGCUUCAUGCCAUUCCCCCAGCCAUCAUUAACCACUAGAAGAACACCUACUAAAAAGCCCUAGGUAGAAGCCAUAGGAAGCUAACCACCACAAUCUAGUUCUUAACAAGGGCUGGAGGAGCUGGGAAAUGCCAUGUUGUCCAUCUCCCUGCUCCCAGCUGAGGCUGCUCUUGAAAACUCCAAGUGGAUCUCAUGAUGGACAGGGCUUGUGACUGGGGUUUGUGAAGACACCAGCGUAAGAAUACUCAUCCAGUAGGAGCCCACCUGCCCCUCACAUGGCAUUUCUGAGAUCAGGGAACUCCAUUUCCUGAGCUUGCCAGAGAAUGUCAGUCCAACUUUUGCCCAUUUUCCAGUUUCCCCAUCAUUUUCUCACUCAGCCUUCCCUUCUCGUCCAACCAAGGGUCCUCAAUCCUCCCAGGGCACUGGUCCCUUGGAAGUCCCAGUCCCAGUGGUGUCUGGGGGUGAGGAUAUGGGAGAUGUGUCCCUGAGCAACACUUCCUGCCAUGACCCCAUCCCCUCGGCAGUGUUGGCGAUCCAGCCACCCUACCCACUACAGGGUGCUAUUCAUACCAGGGAGCCAGAGACCAGGAAGGGAGAUGGGAACGCCCAUCUCUAGACCUUCCACUCACAUUCCUGUGACUUGGGCCUUACCUAAGGGGGAUUGUCAUUUAUUGGUGAUUCCCUAUGGUUCUCAGAUACUGUCCUAGUCAAAUACGCUGAUCAGAUUCUGUACACUAUCUCAGGUGGAACUCUGGUAAGAUGUGUUUAAGGGUUUUUAUUUUUUGGUACCGGAGAUUGAACUCGGGUCCUUGCGUUUGCACAGCAGGCGGCCAAACCACUGAGCUAAAUCCCCGGCCCCCUGGAUGUGUUUAGAAAAUCUGCCUCCCAAGGUCUUAAUGCAUUUGUGCAUGGAGCUGUUGUGAAACACUGCAGGGCUGGUAUUCAGCACCUAUACCAUUAUUGUUCUUUUUUGGUACCGCGGAUUGAACUCAGUGUUCGUUUUUAAGUCUUAAACUGGGAAGUAAAUAGCCCUAAACCCCUUCCCCAGUGUCCUCCAACCACCAAGCUCCUCACCGAGAUCUGUUCCCAAGCCACUAUCUACUUGCACUGCCCAAAAAAGGCAACCACUGGCCACGUGAGGCCAUUUAAUUUUAAUUAAAAUUUAAAAUUGGUCCUGAUUGUCACUGACCUCAAUUUGCACACGUGGCUACCAUACUGAGCAGUGGAGUCGGGACAUUCCCAUCACGGUAUUAACUGUACAGUAAGCCAUGCCAGUGUAGCAGGCCUCAGAGACCUUUCUUGGCUAUUGCCUGUUCCUAUUAUGUGUGACUGUGUCAUACUUAUUAACUUUGUGAAAUAGCACCUGCAUGUUCUGCAGGACACAGUCCAUGCAUGACACAUUCCUAAAACCUAACACCCACCGCUGUCCGGGCCCCUGGACCCUGAAUCAACUCCUAACUAGGGCUAUACGGUGAAGGACAAGGAAGCUAUGAUUACGUGGGCAUGUCCCUGAGACAUGACUGUCCCCUCCUCCCACCACCUUCUCUGACUGUAACUGGAAGGAUUCACAUGGAUGCACGUCAGUGCUCCCCCAACUGCAGGCUCCGGCAGGACGCCAAUGAUGAGUCCACCAGAAUGUUCCCAUACAAGUAAAGCCAGUGAUAAUUUCUUUGUAAAUAAAAGGCCACACCCCUUA
Molecule: non-coding RNA, 9578 nt
Organism: Heterocephalus glaber (naked mole-rat)
Lineage: Eukaryota; Metazoa; Chordata; Mammalia; Rodentia; Bathyergidae
Source: RefSeq, a predicted model, not a curated record